This 502-nucleotide ribosomal RNA is filed under the name uncultured bacterium. RNAcentral's name for it is "partial 16S ribosomal RNA". It matches the Rfam family "Bacterial small subunit ribosomal RNA", at positions 28 to 523 of the family's 1533-position model. The record is from RNAcentral.
GAUGAACGCUAGCGGCAGGCUUAAUACAUGCAAGUCGAGGGGCAGCGCGGGUAGCAAUACCUGGCGGCGACCGGCAAACGGGUGCGGAACACGUACGCAACCUUCCCAUAACUGGUGAAUAGCCCUCCGAAAGGAGGAUUAAUACACCGUAACAUAACGAAGAGGCAUCUUUUUGUUAUUAUAGUAGCAAUACGGUUUUGGAUGGGCGUGCGCCUGAUUAGGUAGUUGGCGGGGUAACGGCCCACCAAGCCUGCGAUCAGUAACUGGUGUGAGAGCACGACGAGUCACACGGGCACUGAGACACGGGCCCGACACCUAAGGGAGGCAGCAGUAAGGAAUAUUGGUCAAUGGACGAAAGUCUGAACCAGCCAUGCCGCGUGAAGGAUUAAGGCCCUCUGGGUUGUAAACUUCUUUUAUCUAGGACGAAAAAAGGGCAUUCUUGCUCACUUGACGGUACCAGAGGAAUAAGCACCGGCUAACUCCGUGCCAGCCGCCGCAGUAA